AUUGAACGCUGGCGGAAUGCUUUACACAUGCAAGUCGAGCGGCAGCGCGGGGCAACCUGGCGGCGAGCGGCGAACGGGUGAGUAAUACAUCGGAACGUGCCCAGACGUGGGGGAUAACUACUCGAAAGAGUGGCUAAUACCGCACACGAUCUAAGGAUGAAAGCGGGGGAUCGCAAGACCUCGCGCGUUUGGAGCGGCCGAUGGCAGAUUAGGUAGUUGGUGGGGUAAAGGCUUACCAAGCCCGCGAUCUGUAGCUGGUCUGAGAGGAUGAUCAGCCACACUGGGACUGAGACACGGCCCAGACUCCUACGGGAGGCAGCAGUGGGGAAUUUUGGACAAUGGGCGAAAGCCUGAUCCAGCCAUUCCGCGUGCAGGAUGAAGGCCCUCGGGUUGUAAACUGCUUUUGUACAGAACGAAAAAGACUCUUUCUAAUACAGAGAGUCCAUGACGGUACUGUAAGAAUAAGCACCGGCUAACUACGUGCCAGCAGCCGCGGU
RNAcentral lists this ribosomal RNA (497 nucleotides) under uncultured bacterium. Its description in RNAcentral is "bacterial SSU rRNA". It matches the Rfam family "Bacterial small subunit ribosomal RNA", at positions 30 to 521 of the family's 1533-position model. The record is from RNAcentral.